Molecule: long non-coding RNA, 2735 nt
Filed under: Homo sapiens (human)
Lineage: Eukaryota; Metazoa; Chordata; Mammalia; Primates; Hominidae
Description: HSALNT0331184
Source: RNAcentral
CAAUAAAAAAGAAUUGCUAAUUGCAGAGUGCGCUUGCCCAGCUGAGGCAUUGGAGCAGGGCAUUUUGAUAGUGGCUGGAGGGCAGGCAGCUCAACCUCUAAACCCCCCUGGUCUGGGCACCAAGUCCUGUCCUGGGCACGGGACACAGUCCUCCAGCGAGACCAAACCCAGCUUCUCUACAGCACCAGGAAGAAGGCAAGCUGGGCCACCAGGGCGCGGCCCCAGGAAGGAAAAUCCUCCAUGGUCCUGUUGACAGAUGUGGUAUCAAAUGAAUUGUUCUCUGCUUAGACACGACUUUGAUAUUUAUUGGUUCAAAUUGCUCGGCUGACUCAGUCUUGCGGACUCUGAUUACACUGGACCUAUCCAAGAUCUGAGAUCAUCAACUCAUCUCAAAAUCCUUAAGCUGACCACAGCAGCAUCGUCCCUUUUGCAGUGUAAGUUCCCCUCCAGGUUUGCACAGCAUCUGCUGAAGUCUCCACUAGAAACUCAAUGGAAGGUCCCCACCGGAAACUGAAAGUCUCCUAGAGUGGCUUUGAGUUGCGGUUUCACCCUCCCUGCAGAUCCACAGGGGAGGCUGGGGCAGAUGGAAAAUACCAACUUGAUGGUCUGUGGCCACACCAUGCUGCUCCCCAAGGCCCCUCAGAAUUUCACUGCCCAAUAUGGUAGCGCCCAGCCUGAAACGUGGCCAGUGUGAAUUGAGAUGGGCUGGAAAUGCACCAGACUUCCAAGAGCUGGACAAAAACCAUAUACUUUCCAUCCAGCUGUUUGGCAUUGGAUACUGCUGCCUCUGCUUGACUUGAGAAUGUGUGAGAAAAGCUGUGUUUAGACAACUGAAAACCAUGAGCUUGAAAGUAGUGGGGGCACACUCUUGGAGACUCCAGUUGCUCACCAGCUUGGACAAACCACUGGACUCAAAUGAUCAGGUAGAAAUUCAUCACUGGAGAGAACACAGUGGAAUGGCUUCAGCGAAAACUCACUCUGAAGGUCUUCAGGGCAACUUUAAGACUUGCCCCUGGCCGGGCACAGUGGCUUAUGCCUAUAAUCCCAGCACUUUGGGAGGCCGAGGCGGGUGGAUCACCUGAGGUCAGGAGUUCAAGACCAGCCUGGCCAAUAUGGCGAAACCCUGUCUCUACUAAAAAUCCAAAAAAUUAGCCGGGCGUGGUCGUGGGCGCCUGUAAUCCCAGCAACUCGAGAGGCUGAGGCAGGAGAAUUGCCUGAACCCGGGAGGCAGAGUUUGAAGACAGCCGAGAUUGCACCACUGGGCAACAAGAGCAAAACUCCAUCUCAAAAAAAAAAAAAAAAAAAAAAAUACUUGCCCCGGCUUUUUGUGUGAUGGACUUUCUAUUUACAGACGUGAUAUUUAUCUAUGACUUUACUCAGAGUCUGGCUCAUAGACCAGAAGGACUGGUAUCUCCUGGAGCUUGCAGGAAAUGCAAAAUCUCAAACCCCUGUAUUAGUCAGGGUUCUCCAGAGAAGUAGAGCCAAUGGGAUAGAGACAGGGAUAGGGAUGAUAGAGAUGGAGAUAGAGGUAGAGAUCCAUUGAUUCCUCUGUUAAUAAAUUGGCUCAUGCAGUUGUGACAAUUUCGAAAUCUGCAAGGUAUGUCAGCAAGCUGGAGACCCAGGGAACAGUUGAUGUUGCACCUUGAGUACAAAGGCAGUGUGUCUGGAGCCAUAAUAUCUUCUUGUUAGGAAGACUUUGGUCUUUUCUCUUCUGGCCUUCAACUGCUUGGGUGAGGCCCGUCCCCACUACAGAAGACAAUAGUCUGUUCUACUCAGAGUCUACUGAUUUAAAUGCUCAUCUCAUCCCAAAAAAUACCCUCACAGCAACAUUUAGCCUGUGCAUUUGACCAAACAACUGGGUACCAUGCCCCCCCUCCCAAGUUGACACACAAAAUUGACCAUCAUACCCUCCCCACCCCCAGUCUUACUGAAUGAGAGAGAAUCUGUGCUUCAACAAGAUCCCCAGAAGAGGUAUAAGCGCAGGGAAGUCUGAGAAGCACCACCUUUGAGGCUUAUCCAGGAUGCCCACAUGAGCCUUCUCUGGAUAUGUCAGAUCCCCUUCCUGGCCCCCUAGACACCUCCUCCACUCCCCAAACUUGGAAGCAACAUUGUGGGGAAGCAGGCAGUGAGGCGCUCAGUCUACCACGUUGUGAGAUACACAGCUCCAUCUGUGUAUCAUGAUUUGAUCCAAGGGAAAACAAAAGAUCCAGAAACAUAAGUACUUUUUUGUGAGCUCUCAAAAACUUCCUGUGACAAGAUCAGGUCGUUGAUGCGAGAGCCACACUUGUUUCUUUUUCCUCUUUAUUCUCCACCUCUGACAUAAUACUUAGCAUAAAAAAAAAUCCAAUAAACACCACUGAAUCAAUUAUCUAAGCCUCAGUUUCCCUCUUGUAAUAUGUACUUACCUGGUUGUGGUAGGAAAGACACCAGGCAUGAGAAACACUUAAAAGCCCAGGACCCUGAGCUGGGCACAUGGUAGGUACUCAGGAAGUCAUUGCCGAGUGUUCAGUGCAUGCUUGUUGAAUGAGUAAAUGAGGUCAGGCUUCAGCAUGCAAACACUCGCUAUAAAGCAGGAACCCUGUGCCCUGAGUGCACAAAAUAGAUAUCGGUGAGUGCAUAUGGGGGCAGUGAGUGUAUGGAUUGGAUAUAGGUGGGUGUAUAUGGUGAGGAGUAUGGAUUGGAUACAGGUGGGUGUAUACAGAGGGGAGUGAGUGUAUGGAUUGGAUACAGGUGGG